Molecule: ribosomal RNA, 799 nt
Filed under: uncultured Planctomycetota bacterium
Lineage: Bacteria; Pseudomonadati; Planctomycetota
Description: bacterial SSU rRNA
Rfam family: Bacterial small subunit ribosomal RNA
Source: RNAcentral
GGGCGCGUAGGCGGUCCGACAAGUCAGGGGUGAAAUCCUGCAGCUUAACUGUAGAAGUGCCUCUGAUACUGUCGGUCUUGAGGGAGAUAGGGGUGUGCGGAACUUCCAGUGGAGCGGUGAAAUGCGUUGAUAUUGGAAGGAACGCCGGAGGCGAAAGCGGCGCACUGGAUCUCUACUGACGCUGAGGCGCGAAAGCCAGGGGAGCAAACGGGAUUAGAUACCCCGGUAGUCCUGGCCCUAAACGAUGGGUACUAGAUUGUAGACUGAUCAUGGGUUUACAGUCGAAGCAAAAGUGUUAAGUACCCCGCCUGGGGAGUAUGGUCGCAAGGCUGAAACUCAAAGAAAUUGACGGGGGCUCACACAAGCGGUGGAGCAUGUGGCUUAAUUCGAGGCUACGCGAAGAACCUUAUCCUAGGCUUGACAUGUGCGAAAGCGGCAGGGGGUAGUCUCUUGGAAACUUGAGACGAAGGUAUCCAAUCCUGAACCUGCUACAGGUGCUGCAUGGCUGUCGUCAGCUCGUGUCGUGAGAUGUCGGGUUAAGUCCCAUAACGAGCGAAACCCUUGCUUCCAGUUGCCAGCGAGUAAUGUCGGGGACUCUGGAAGGACUGCCGGUGUUAAACCGGAGGAAGGUGGGGAUGACGUCAAGUCCUCAUGGCCUUUAUGCCUAGGGCUGCACACGUGCUACAAUGCAACGAACAAAGGGAAGCUAACCCGUGAGGGGGAGCCAAUCCCAAAAAACGUUGCCCAGUUCAGAUCGAAGGCUGCAACUCGCCUUCGUGAAGUUGGAAUCGCUAGUAAU